Molecule: ribosomal RNA, 253 nt
Filed under: uncultured bacterium
Lineage: Bacteria
Description: partial 16S ribosomal RNA
Rfam family: Bacterial small subunit ribosomal RNA
Source: RNAcentral
UACGAGGGGGGCAAGCGUUGUUCGGAAUUAUUGGGCGUAAAGGGCGCGUAGGCGGUGCGGUAAGUCACCUGUGAAAACUCUGGGCUCAACUCAGAGCCUGCAGGCGAAACUGCUGUGCUUGAGUGUGGGAGAGGCGCGUGGAAUUGCAGGUGUAGCGGUGAAAUGCGUAGAUAUCUGCAGGAACACCCGUGGCGAAAGCGGCGCGCUGGACCACUACUGACGCUGAGGAACGAAAGCUAGGGGAGCAAACAGG